This 101-nucleotide non-coding RNA is filed under the name Pontibacter korlensis. RNAcentral describes it as "TPP sequence". It matches the Rfam family "TPP riboswitch aptamer (THI element)". From Rfam's summary of the family: Vitamin B(1) in its active form thiamin pyrophosphate (TPP) is an essential coenzyme that is synthesised by coupling of pyrimidine and thiazole moieties in bacteria. The previously detected thiamin-regulatory element, thi box was extended, resulting in a new, highly conserved RNA secondary structure, the THI element, which is widely distributed in eubacteria and also occurs in some archaea. Analysis of operon structures identified a large number of new candidate thiamin-regulated genes, mostly transporters, in various prokaryotic organisms. Lineage: Bacteria; Pseudomonadati; Bacteroidota; Cytophagia; Cytophagales; Hymenobacteraceae. The record is from RNAcentral.
AGCAGACUUUAGGGGUGUCCUGUAAAACUUUAUAGGGCUGAGAUUUACCCUUUGAACCUGAUGCAGUUCAUACUGCCGUAGGGAAAAGUGAAGAUAAGCCG